GAACAUGUCUAAACCUUGCGUCCCUAUGUUACCAUUCGAGUUCUUAGUCUUACGAUCUCCUCUGCCUACAAAUCUACCACUUGGGUAACCCCUAGUGGACUGCCGAUCACCAAAUCUGACAAGUAGUGAUCACGUAUACGAGUGUGGUGCUCGGGCGUACUGGGAUCCAUUGAAUAUGACUGUACCCCAUGGUCUGAGGGGUAAGAGGCACGUGGUCAUAGCCCUGUCCGUCCCUUGUAGUCACCCACAUUCGGGUAUGAUGUAGGAAGUCUGAAAGAUACCUUGCCUUGGCAGACUAGGGACGACUAUUCUCCCC
This 316-nucleotide long non-coding RNA is filed under the name Setaria viridis. RNAcentral describes it as "long non-coding RNA (SVIR_LNC010974)". The record is from RNAcentral. Lineage: Eukaryota; Viridiplantae; Streptophyta; Magnoliopsida; Poales; Poaceae.